AGAUUGAACGCUGGCGGCAUGCCUAACACAUGCAAGUCGCACGGGAGUAGCAAUACUCUAGUGGCGGACGGGUGAGGAAUACGUAGGAAUUUGCCCUUAAGUGGGGGAUAACCCGGGGAACCCGGAUUAAUACCGCAUGACCUCGAAAGAGCAAAGUGGGGGAUCGCAAGACCUCACGCUUUUGGAGAAGCCUACGUCGGAUUAGCUAGUUGGUGAGGUAAUGGCUCACCAAGGCGACGAUCCGUAACUGGUCUGAGAGGAUGAUCAGUCACACCGGAACUGAGACACGGUCGGACUCCUACGGAGGCAGCAGUGGGGGAAUAUUGGGACAAGUGGGCGCAAGCCUGAUCCAGCAAUGCCGCGUGUGUGAAGAAGGCCUUGGUGUAAGCGACUUAAGGUUGGUAAGAAAAAACGUCGACGUACGUAACACAGUAGAGUCGUUGACGGUACCGUACAGAAUAAGCACCGGACUAACGUCUAGUGCCAGCAGCCGAC
This 495-nucleotide ribosomal RNA is filed under the name uncultured soil bacterium. Its description in RNAcentral is "bacterial SSU rRNA". It matches the Rfam family "Bacterial small subunit ribosomal RNA", at positions 26 to 518 of the family's 1533-position model. The record is from RNAcentral.